This 81-nucleotide ribosomal RNA is filed under the name Paenibacillus sp. 276b. Its description in RNAcentral is "partial 16S rRNA. Bacterial SSU". It matches the Rfam family "Bacterial small subunit ribosomal RNA", at positions 1 to 79 of the family's 1533-position model. Lineage: Bacteria; Bacillati; Bacillota; Bacilli; Caryophanales; Paenibacillaceae. The record is from RNAcentral.
CUUUAUUGGAGAGUUUGAUCCUGGCUCAGGACGAACGCUGGCGGCAUGCCUAAUACAUGCAAGUCGAGCGGACUUGAAGAG